UUAAAAGUAAAUGUGAUGAGUUUUUUUUUUUUUUUUCAGUUUGCAGGUUAUGGUAGACUGUCCCUCGUGCUCGCCAGCACCACAAAAUGGCUUCCUGUGUGCAGAAGGGCCUACUGACUACAGUAUGCGGAGAGAACUGGAGGAAUGUGACUACAAACGCAUGCGAUGCAAGUGGGCUUGACGGCCCUGGUGCCUGGCUCCUGCUCUAGAGAAUGAACACAGACCAUUGCAAUGGAUCAGAGCACUUCAGAGCCCCCAACAGGAUAUUCUGAAGCAUCCAGCACAAAGAAUCUCUUGCAGUGGAAGCAUGUGGUGAUCCUUGCAACUCUGAAGCCCUCACACCAGGUUGUUUUUGAUGGCCUUCUGAAAGCAUCACAGAUAUGCCCAUUUGGCUGGUGCAUCUGUCUAUUGGAGGAGGUGAAUGAGUCUGCUUGGCUGGUACAAAUGUGUCUGUAGGAUGUCUCAAGCACACCUGUGAUUUAUUUUUUUUGGCUUCAUCCAGAUUUGAUCAUUGAUGGCCUUUUGAAAGCAUCACAGAUAUGUCCACUUGGCUGGUGCAUCUGCCUGUAUUGGCAGAGGAGGUAAAUGAGUCUGACUGGCUAGUACAAAUGCAUCUUUAGCAGAGGAGGUAAAUGAGUCUGACUGGCUAGUACAAAUGCAUCUUUAGGAAGCCUCGUGCUCGUGUGUGUAAUUUUGGAUUCUUCACCCAAAUUUGGGAAGCAGUGCAUCCUAUUUUUUAUACCUCUGCCCAAGACUUGCCUGUAACCUGUGGUCUGACGCACACACGAGAGCAGCACUGAGUUGAGAUGAAUAAUCACACAUGUUCAUAUUGUGCACGCUGAGUCUUGGUUGGUGGGUUUACACCAACUUCAAUAAAUCCAAUAACCACGAGACUGUUUUAUUUGUAUUUCUCAAACCUUAAGCUUGGCCCUGCUUGAAUAGCAAGCAUGUGCUCAUUGUUGAAUUACUAGAAUCCAGGGCUGUUCUACUUAAGCUACCAUUUAGUGUAUGGAAAUGUUGGCUUUUGAGGCUGCAUUUUAAACUUAUGGAGUAUUGUAUUGUGACAGUUGCCAUUAGUUGAGAAUUAGUUUGCUUGAACAAAAACUUGACACUAGAUUUUCUCUGUACCUAUGCCUGUUUUUGGUGUGUUUCUCUUUUGAAAAGUCCUGGAAGAAACUACUGCUUUAUUUUUUUGUAUUAAAUGUCUGCCAAAUCUCA
This is a long non-coding RNA of Polyodon spathula (Mississippi paddlefish), 1218 nucleotides long. RefSeq lists it as uncharacterized. The record is from RefSeq and is a predicted model, not a curated record. NCBI's taxonomy places the organism in Eukaryota, Metazoa, Chordata, Actinopteri, Acipenseriformes, Polyodontidae. The transcript has 11 exons.